UGAUGGCUGUUCCUCUCCUGCCAUGAAGAUAUUGGCAAGGGAUUUUAGGCUAUCAUAAAUCAAUGAAAAUUAUUCACCCAUGCUAGUAAGGGUUUGCUAAUCUUGAUUACUAUCAUGGUUUUGCAAUUUUCAACAUUU
Small nucleolar RNA from Parasteatoda tepidariorum (common house spider), 138 nucleotides. RefSeq annotates it as small nucleolar RNA SNORA79. The record is from RefSeq and is a predicted model, not a curated record. Lineage: Eukaryota; Metazoa; Arthropoda; Arachnida; Araneae; Theridiidae.